Molecule: ribosomal RNA, 253 nt
Filed under: uncultured bacterium
Lineage: Bacteria
Description: partial 16S ribosomal RNA
Rfam family: Bacterial small subunit ribosomal RNA
Source: RNAcentral
UACGAAGGGGGCUAGCGUUGCUCGGAAUUACUGGGCGUAAAGGGCGCGUAGGCGGAUGUUUAAGUCAGAGGUGAAAGCCCAGGGCUCAACCUUGGAACUGCCUUUGAUACUGGACAUCUUGAGUGUGGGAGAGGUGAGUGGAACUCCGAGUGUAGAGGUGAAAUUCGUAGAUAUCGGGAGGAACACCUGUGGCGAAAGCGGCUCACUGGACCAUAACUGACGCUGAUGCACGAAAGCUGGGGGAGCAAACAGG